This 509-nucleotide long non-coding RNA is filed under the name Setaria italica (foxtail millet). RNAcentral's name for it is "long non-coding RNA (SITA_LNC004874)". The record is from RNAcentral. Lineage: Eukaryota; Viridiplantae; Streptophyta; Magnoliopsida; Poales; Poaceae.
CGGUUGGGGUUCGGGCUUUAGGUCAGGUUGUGGAGCGGGGUUAUUCGGAUCCGGUUGCGGUUCUGGCUUUGGAUCAGGCUGUGGUGUUGGUUUGGGUUCCGGCUUCGGGUCAGGUUGUGGCGUGGGGUUUGGAUCGGGCUGCGGUUGGGGCUUUGGGUCAGGCUGUGGUGUUGGUUUGGGUUCCGGUUUCUUGUCAGGUUGUGGCGCAGGGUUUGGAUCAGGCUGCGGUUGCGGCUUCAGGUCAGGCUGCGGUUGGGGCUUUGGGUCAGGUCGUGGUGUGAGGUUUGGAUCAGGCUGCGGUUGGGGCUUUGGAUCGGGCUGCGGUUGGGGGUUUGGGUCAGGUUGUGGUGUUGGGUUUGGAUCAGGCUGCGGUUGGGGCUUUGGGUCGGGCUGUGGUGCCGGGUUUGGAUCAGGCUGCGGUUGUGGCUUUGGGUUGGGUUGUGGUGUUGGUUUGGGAUCUGGCUUUGGGUCUGGUUGUGGUGUUGGUUUGGGAUCUGGCUUUGGAUCAG